UGAUUUGCUGCUUAUUCUUUUUCAUUGUUGACAUUAGUUGACAGCUGACUGAAAUUGUUAAAAUUCAAUGUUGGUUAUGAUCUAUAAUAUUUACAAGUUUUGGUUGCAAAUUUGAAAAUUUAAUGAGUUCGGGUGAGAAAUUAAAUGACUAUCAGUUAAAGUUUAGGUAUGAAAAAGUAUCCAACAUGUAGUUUAGGUUUG
RNAcentral lists this long non-coding RNA (201 nucleotides) under Capsella rubella. RNAcentral describes it as "long non-coding RNA (CRUB_LNC004097)". Lineage: Eukaryota; Viridiplantae; Streptophyta; Magnoliopsida; Brassicales; Brassicaceae. The record is from RNAcentral.